AUGGCAGCCGGGGCGACGGAAGAUGUGGAGCUCGCCAUCUUGGCCUUGCCCAAGAAGUCGUUUCACUGCGCCGCCUGUCUUUGCCCCCUCAAGCCUCCAGUAUUCAGGUGCGAGAACGAGCAUUUCGUGUGCCAGGCCUGCGGCGGCGCGAACAAGCACUGCGGUCCAUGCGGGCGCGAGGUAUCCUACACCCGCUCCCGCUUCAUGGACGGCGUGGUCGACGCCUACAAGGUGCCGUGCCUCUACAAGGGACACGGCUGCGCCAUGGACGACAUCCCCUACCACUCGGCCGCCGACCACAAGGCCAGCUGCAAGCACGCGCCCUGCUACUGCUUCGACUGCCGCUUCGUGGGCUCGCCGGCCAAGCUCGUGCGCCACCUCGCGUCGCCGUCCGGCGCGCACGCGUGGCCCGUGGAGAAGAUCAAGGGCAACGCCGACGCGGACGCGGACGCCAAGCCUCUGUACACGGGCGUGCUCUGGGUGGACGGCCCUCCGGCGCCCCCGCGCCAGCCGCUGGGGUGCAGCUUCAGGCUGAAGGCGACGGUGGCGAGCUGCUCCGUCCCCGGCGUCGUGGACAUGGACCAGGGCUGGCUCCACGCCCAUGUCAGCCCCAACAUGCUGCACGGCCACGGAGGAGAGUCCGGCGACUGCGAGCUUCAUCUGCGCCUUUGUCUCACUAAGCUAGCGUGA
RNAcentral lists this ribosomal RNA (690 nucleotides) under Triticum aestivum (bread wheat). RNAcentral describes it as "partial small subunit ribosomal RNA". Lineage: Eukaryota; Viridiplantae; Streptophyta; Magnoliopsida; Poales; Poaceae. The record is from RNAcentral.